UACGUAGGGGGCAAGCGUUGUCCGGAUUUAUUGGGCGUAAAGAGCGUGUAGGCGGUUUGGUAGGUCCGCUGUGAAAACUCGAGGCUCAACCUCGAGACGCCGGUGGAAACCAUCAGGCUAGAGUCCGGAAGAGGAGAGUGGAAUUCCUGGUGUAGCGGUGAAAUGCGCAGAUAUCAGGAAGAACACCCGUGGCUAAGGCGGCUCGCUGGGCCGGUCCUGACGCUGAGACGCGAAGGCGUGGGGAGCGAACGGG
This 253-nucleotide ribosomal RNA is filed under the name uncultured bacterium. RNAcentral describes it as "partial 16S ribosomal RNA". It matches the Rfam family "Bacterial small subunit ribosomal RNA", at positions 524 to 776 of the family's 1533-position model. The record is from RNAcentral.